AAUGUGAUGUACCUAGUAAUAUUAGUGAUUAAUAUGAGGCUAACCGAGUUAGUUAAAAUUCUAAGUAUAUAUGUGAUUAUGACAAUAUGUGCUUAUUUCUUGACCAAGUCACGUGCCAGCCGUCGCGGUAAUACGUGGAAGAUCAGUGUUAUUCAUCUUUAUCAGGUUUAAAGGGUACCUAGACGGUUAAUUAAGCUUUAGUAGGAACUAAUUAACUAGAGUUUAAUGUAAGAAUGAUUGAGUACGGUGAGUGUAGAGAUAAAAUUCUGUCAUACCACUUAGGAACUGGUAAAAGCGAAGGCAACUUUCUAUGUAAAAACUGACGUUAAGGGACGAAGGCUCGUAUCAAAUAACAGGAUUAGAUACCCCAGCAUUGUGGGCAGACAAUGAUGAGUGUCAUAUGCAAGAGAUAAAAAAAAAUAUUUUGUGUAUAAAUGAAAGUGUAAGCACUCCACCUCAAGAGUAACGUGGCAACAUGGGAACUGAAAUCAUUAGACCGUUUCUGAAACUCGUAGUGAAGUAUGUUGUUUAAUUAGAUGGUGCACAAAUAACCUUACCACAAUUUGUAUAACUAUAGUACAUAAUAAUAAUAUAGUUACAAGCGUUGCACGGCUGUCUUUAGUCUAUGUUGUGAAACUGUGGUUAGAUCCAUUAAAUAGACGUAAACCCUUACUUUAUUUAUUAUAAAGUAGUUCGCCG
This 699-nucleotide ribosomal RNA is filed under the name Diploschistes interpediens. RNAcentral describes it as "mitochondrial SSU rRNA". It matches the Rfam family "Bacterial small subunit ribosomal RNA", at positions 380 to 1137 of the family's 1533-position model. The record is from RNAcentral. Lineage: Eukaryota; Fungi; Ascomycota; Lecanoromycetes; Ostropales; Graphidaceae.